Molecule: transfer-messenger RNA, 353 nt
Filed under: uncultured Bulleidia sp.
Lineage: Bacteria; Bacillati; Bacillota; Erysipelotrichia; Erysipelotrichales; Erysipelotrichaceae
Rfam family: transfer-messenger RNA
About the family: Bacterial tmRNA, also known as 10Sa RNA or SsrA, is named for its dual tRNA and mRNA-like properties. Its role is to liberate the mRNA from a stalled ribosome.
Source: RNAcentral
GGGGGUGUACUGGUUUCGACAGGUUUACGUUUGAUUCAAGCUGCAGUGGAGCGGUGACCAUAUCACCAACAAAAAAUAAACGCUAACAGAAACACAAGUUUCGCAUUCGCUGCAUAAGUUACGCUUAGAGCGUCGCAGCGUCCUGCCUGUCAUGUAGCCGUCAUUGACAGGUAGCGUAAAAAAACGGAUAGGGUGUCCCUGAUGUCUGUGAGGGAUGCAUGAAAAUCUACAGGCAGAUUCAACAGGUGGAUAGACCGCUGUCAUGCCUGUUGUCUUACCAACAGCGGUAUAAACUGUAGAGGCUUGAAUGUGGGGCGACUCUUGGACAGGGGUUCGAUUCCCCUCACUUCCAC